ACAACAUUAGGGACCGUCGGUCUACCGAGCAAUAUCACCCGCUCGGUGGAAGAUCUUCCCUCCGUCGU
RNAcentral lists this microRNA precursor (68 nucleotides) under Bombyx mori (domestic silkworm). RNAcentral's name for it is "mir-2774 microRNA precursor family". It matches the Rfam family "mir-2774 microRNA precursor family". The record is from Rfam by way of RNAcentral. Lineage: Eukaryota; Metazoa; Arthropoda; Insecta; Lepidoptera; Bombycidae.